CACGGGUGCGUAACGCGUAUGCAAUCUACCUUAGUACAGGGAAUAGCCCAGAGAAUUUGGAUUAAUGCCCCAUAGUGUUAUCGAAUCGCAUGGUUGAUAACUAAAGUUCCAACGGUAUAAGAUGAGCAUGCGUCCCAUUAGUUAGUUGGUAAGGUAACGCUUACCAAGACAAUGAUGGGUAGGGGUCCUGAGAGGGAGAUCCCCCCACACUGGUACUGAGACACGGACCAGACUCCUACGGGAGGCAGCAGUGAGGAAUAUUGGACAAUGGGCGCAAGCCUGAUCCAGCCAUGCCGCGUGCAGGAUGACGGUCCUAUGGAUUGUAAACUGCUUUUAUACAGGAAGAAACACUACUUCGUGAAGUAGCUUGACGGUACUGUAAGAAUAAGGAUCGGCUAACUCCGUG
This 406-nucleotide ribosomal RNA is filed under the name uncultured bacterium. RNAcentral describes it as "bacterial SSU rRNA". It matches the Rfam family "Bacterial small subunit ribosomal RNA", at positions 100 to 507 of the family's 1533-position model. The record is from RNAcentral.